This 603-nucleotide transfer RNA is filed under the name Desmonostoc sp. 7N. RNAcentral describes it as "16S-23S ribosomal RNA intergenic spacer". The stretch from base 279 to 351 matches the Rfam family "tRNA". Lineage: Bacteria; Bacillati; Cyanobacteriota; Cyanophyceae; Nostocales; Nostocaceae. The record is from RNAcentral. RNAcentral also lists the same sequence under 1 other name.
UUUUAGGGAGACCUACACCCCUCAAAUAUUGAAAGCAAACAGCAAAUAAAUAUUGAGAUGGUCAAACCUAGGUCGGUCGCAGACAUUUUGUUGUUAGCUUUCAAACUAUGAUUUGGUUCAAUUAUGGGCUAUUAGCUCAGGUGGUUAGAGCGCACCCCUGAUAAGGGUGAGGUCCCUGGUUCGAGUCCAGGAUGGCCCACCUGAAAGUAAUUGGUAAUUACUAAUUCGUAAUUCGUAAUUAACUACGAAUUGAGAAUUAUAAAUUACGAAUUAUUUCUGGGGGUUUAGCUCAGUUGGUAGAGCGCCUGCUUUGCAAGCAGGAUGUCAGCGGUUCGAGUCCGCUAACCUCCACCUUGAUAGCGUCAGCUAAAAAUAGAGGGAUUGAAUUCAGCAAAGUGACAUAUAGCAUGAUUAGAUUAUGUAAAUGUCAGACUGCUGGGUAAUCGUCCAGCCAGAACCUUGAAAACUGCAUAGGAAUGCGAAAAAAGCAGGCAGACACAGACAUUACUGAGUGCCAAGUCUUGGGUACUGAUUAAAAUCAGUGUUCAGAGAUGAAGUAGUCAAAAAAUAUUGUGUUUGCAAUUGAAGCCGAAUUGUUUGAGU